RNAcentral lists this ribosomal RNA (465 nucleotides) under Vreelandella stevensii. Its description in RNAcentral is "partial 16S ribosomal RNA". It matches the Rfam family "Bacterial small subunit ribosomal RNA", at positions 338 to 795 of the family's 1533-position model. Lineage: Bacteria; Pseudomonadati; Pseudomonadota; Gammaproteobacteria; Oceanospirillales; Halomonadaceae. The record is from RNAcentral.
CCUACGGGGGGCUGCAGUGGGGAAUAUUGGACAAUGGGCGAAAGCCUGAUCCAGCCAUGCCGCGUGUGUGAAGAAGGCCUUCGGGUUGUAAAGCACUUUCAGUGGGGAAGAAAGCCUUGGGGCUAAUACCCUCGAGGAAGGACAUCACCCACAGAAGAAGCACCGGCUAACUCCGUGCCAGCAGCCGCGGUAAUACGGAGGGUGCGAGCGUUAAUCGGAAUUACUGGGCGUAAAGCGCGCGUAGGCGGUCUGAUAAGCCGGUUGUGAAGGCCCCGGGCUCAACCUGGGAACGGCAUCCGGAACUGUCAGGCUAGAGUGCAGGAGAGGAAGGUAGAAUUCCCGGUGUAGCGGUGAAAUGCGUAGAGAUCGGGAGGAAUACCAGUGGCGAAGGCGGCCUUCUGGACUGACACUGACGCUGAGGUGCGAAAGCGUGGGUAGCAAACAGGAUUAGAUACCCGAGUAGUC